CACAUGCAAGUCGAACGGGAAUUACUUUAUUGAAACUUCGGUCGAUUUAAUUUAAUUCUAGUGGCGGACGGGUGAGUAACGCGUGGGUAACCUGCCUUGUACAGGGGGAUAACAGUCAGAAAUGGCUGCUAAUACCGCAUAAGCGCACAGGACCGCAUGGUCCGGUGUGAAAAACUCCGGUGGUAUAAGAUGGACCCGCGUUGGAUUAGCUUGUUGGCAGGGUAACGGCCUACCAAGGCGACGAUCCAUAGCCGGCCUGAGAGGGUGAACGGCCGCAUUGGGACUGAGACACGGCCCAGACUCCUACGGGAGGCAGCAGUGGGGAAUAUUGCACAAUGGGGGAAACCCUGAUGCAGCGACGCCGCGUGAAGGAAGAAGUAUCUCGGUAUGUAAACUUCUAUCAGCAGGGAAGAGAUUGACGGUACCUGACUAAGAAGCCCCGGCUAACUACGUGCCAGCAGCCGCGGUAAUACGUAGGGGGCAAGCGUUAUCCGGAUUUACUGGGUGUAAAGGGAGCGUAGACGGAUGGACAAGUCUGAUGUGAAAGGCUGGGGCUCAACCCCGGGACUGCAUUGGAAACUGCCCGUCUUGAGUGCCGGAGAGGUAAGCGGAAUUCCUAGUGUAGCGGUGAAAUGCGUAGAUAUUAGGAGGAACACCAGUGGCGAAGGCGGCUUACUGGACG
RNAcentral lists this ribosomal RNA (682 nucleotides) under uncultured Lachnospiraceae bacterium. Its description in RNAcentral is "bacterial SSU rRNA". It matches the Rfam family "Bacterial small subunit ribosomal RNA", at positions 52 to 735 of the family's 1533-position model. The record is from RNAcentral. Lineage: Bacteria; Bacillati; Bacillota; Clostridia; Lachnospirales; Lachnospiraceae.